Molecule: ribosomal RNA, 440 nt
Filed under: uncultured bacterium
Lineage: Bacteria
Description: partial 16S ribosomal RNA
Rfam family: Bacterial small subunit ribosomal RNA
Source: RNAcentral
CCUACGGGUGUCAGCAGUGGGGGAUAUUGCACAAUGGGGGGAACCCUGAUGCAGCGACGCCGCGUGGGUGAAGAAGCGCCUCGGCGCGUAAAGCCCUGUCAGCAGGGAAGAAAAUGACGGUACCUGAAGAAGAAGCCCCGGCUAACGACGUGCCAGCCGCCGAGGUAAUACGUAGGGGGCUAGCGUUAUCCGGCGUUACUGGGUGUACAGGGGGCGCAGACGGCGAUGCAAACCAGGCUUGAGAGCCCGGGGCCCAACCCCGGGACUGCUCUUGGAACUGCGUGGCUAGAGUGCAGGAGGGGAAGGCGGAAUUCCUGGUGUAGCGGUGAAAUGCGUAGAUAUCAGGAGGAACACCGGUGGCGAAGGCGGCCUGCUGGACUGCAACUGACGUUGAGGCCCGAAAGCGUGGGGAGCAAACAGGAUUAGAUACCCCAGGAGUC